This 468-nucleotide ribosomal RNA is filed under the name uncultured bacterium. Its description in RNAcentral is "bacterial SSU rRNA". It matches the Rfam family "Bacterial small subunit ribosomal RNA", at positions 917 to 1382 of the family's 1533-position model. The record is from RNAcentral.
GGGUCCGCACAAGCGGUGGAGCAUGUGGUUCAAUUCGAUGGUACGCGAGGAACCUUACCUGGGCUAGAAUGCAGUUGGAAUGUCGCUGAAAGGCGACAGCCCCGCAAGGGGCCGGCUGUAAGGUGCUGCAUGGCUGUCGUCAGCUCGUGCCGUGAGGUGUUGGGUUAAGUCCCGCAACGAGCGCAACCCCCAUCAUUAGUUGCCAUCGGGUAAAGCCGGGGACUCUAGUGAAACUGCCUGCGUAAGCAGUGAGGAAGGAGGGGACGACGUCAAGUCAUCACGGCCUUUAUGUCCAGGGCUACACACGUGCUACAAUGGUAGGUACAAAGGGCUGCAACACGGCGACGUGAAGCCAAUCCCAAAAAACCUAUCUCAGUCCAGAUUGGAGUCUGCAACCCGACUCCAUGAAGCUGGAAUCGCUAGUAAUCGGAUAUCAGCUAUGAUCCGGUGAAUACGUUCCCGGACCUU